Molecule: ribosomal RNA, 282 nt
Filed under: Clostridioides difficile
Lineage: Bacteria; Bacillati; Bacillota; Clostridia; Peptostreptococcales; Peptostreptococcaceae
Description: partial 23S ribosomal RNA
Rfam family: Bacterial large subunit ribosomal RNA
Source: RNAcentral
AAGGGUGCAGGGCGGAUGCCUUGGCACUAGGAGCCGAUGAAGGACGUGAUAAGCUGCGAUAAGCUUCGGGGAGUUGCACGUAAACUUUGAUCCGAAGAUUUCCGAAUGAGGAAACUCACUUAGAGUAAUGUCUAAGUAUCAUUAAGUGAAUACAUAGCUUAAUGAGGGGAACUCAGGGAACUGAAACAUCUAAGUACCUGAAGGAAGAGAAAGAAAUUCGAUUCCGUAAGUAGCGGCGAGCGAACGCGGAUUAGCCCAAACCAAUAAAGUUUUCUUUAUUGG